AAAAUGACUCUCGGCAACGGAUAUCUCGGCUCUCGCAUCGAUGAAGAACGUAGCAAACUGCGAUACUUGGUGUGAAUUGCAGAAUCCCGUGAACCAUCGAGUCUUUGAACGCAAGUUGCGCCCGAAGCCAUCCGGCCGAGGGCACGUCUGCCUGGGCGUCACGC
This 164-nucleotide ribosomal RNA is filed under the name Exochaenium grande. RNAcentral's name for it is "5.8S ribosomal RNA". It matches the Rfam family "5.8S ribosomal RNA". Rfam says of the family: 5.8S ribosomal RNA (5.8S rRNA) is a component of the large subunit of the eukaryotic ribosome. It is transcribed by RNA polymerase I as part of the 45S precursor that also contains 18S and 28S rRNA. The record is from RNAcentral. Lineage: Eukaryota; Viridiplantae; Streptophyta; Magnoliopsida; Gentianales; Gentianaceae.